ACUGCUAUCGGAUUGAUACUAAGCCAUGCGAGUCAUUGUAGUAAUACAAGGCAGACGGCUCAGUAACGCGUAGUCAACCUACCCUAUGGACGGGAAUAACCUCGGGAAACUGAGAAUAAUGCCCGAUAGAACAUUAUGCCUGGAAUGGUUUAUGUUCCAAAUGAUUUAUCGCCGUAGGAUGGGACUGCGUCCUAUCAGUUUGUUGGUGAGGUAAUGGCCCACCAAGACUAUUACAGGUACGGGCUCUGAGAGGAGUGGCCCGGAGAUGGGUACUGAGACACGGACCCAGGCCCUAUGGGGCGCAGCAGGCGAGAAAACUCUGCAAUGUGCGAAAGCACGACAAGGUUAAUCCGAGUGGUUUCUGCUAAAGGAACCUUUUGUCGGUCCUAGAAACACCGAUGAAUAAGGGGUGGGCAAGUUCUGGUGUCAGCCGCCGCGGUAAAACCAGCACCUCAAGUUGUCAGGAUGAUUAUUGGGCCUAAAGCAUCCGUAGCCGGCUCUGUUAGUUUUCGGUUAAAUCUAUACGCUCAACGUAUAGGCUGCCGGGAAUACUGCAGAGCUAGGGAGUGGGAGAGGUAGACGGUACUCGGUAGGAAGGGGUAAAAUCCUUUGAUCUAUUGAUGACCACCUGUGGCGAAGGCGGUCUACCAGAACACGUCCGACGGUGAGGGAUGAAAGCUGGGGGAGCAAACCGGAUUAGAUACCCGGGUAGUCCCAGCUGUAAACUAUGCAAACUCAGUGAUGCAUUGGCUUGUGGCCAAUGCAGUGCUGCAGGGAAGCCGUUAAGUUUGCCGCCUGGGAAGUACGUACGCAAGUAUGAAACUUAAAGGAAUUGGCGGGGGAGCACCACAAGGGGUGAAG
Molecule: ribosomal RNA, 861 nt
Filed under: uncultured archaeon
Lineage: Archaea
Description: bacterial SSU rRNA
Rfam family: Archaeal small subunit ribosomal RNA
Source: RNAcentral